This is a long non-coding RNA of Harpia harpyja (harpy eagle), 1354 nucleotides long. RefSeq lists it as uncharacterized. The transcript has 2 exons. The record is from RefSeq and is a predicted model, not a curated record. NCBI's taxonomy places the organism in Eukaryota, Metazoa, Chordata, Aves, Accipitriformes, Accipitridae.
AUCACCCUGUGAAAACCAAUUACAAUUCAUUUAUCAGUAAGUGUCUGUGCAGAUGCAUUUGUCUCCAACACAAAAAUCUAAACAACAACAAAAUAAUCAAAGUAUCUCUAGAAGAUGAGAAACAAAUGUUUGAUUUAGUAACAUCAUAGGUAAGGCUGAUGCAGAGUAUUAUUCACGAUCUUUAAACAUUGCUAUUUCAAAAGUUAUCUUCUAAAGGCAUCUCAAGUGUAUUCCUGGUUUGUAUAUCUACUUUUGACUGCAUAUGCAAAAGAUGAAAAAAAUUUGUGAACACACUGUACAAAUAAGCACAAAGUACACUUACUCAAUGUCUGAUGAAACACACUCUGCAUACCCUCCAUGUCAAUUUUUAUAUCCUGAAAAAUCGAGGCUAAAUAAACUUUUAAGGCUACUGCAUCUGUUAAAUUGGGUACAAUAACUGCCAUUUCAUCUAUGCUGAGACACAGAAAUAGUAAUAAAUAGUUGAUAUAAUUAAGGUACCUGAGACUAACAUACGUAGAAGGGCAUCUUUUUCAGCCAGCUUUUUUUCCAAAAUGGGGAGUACAAUCACCACAGAUAGAAAGAACACCAACCUUGCUUUUUUUGAAUUCUUCUCCAAAUAUUGGAAAAAGGAGACAGUUUCUAUCCACGAGAUAUGCAUAACUUACCAGGCUUUGGAUUUUUUUUUUUUUCAAAAAUAAAUUGCAGCUUUGAAAGCUUAGUUGAAAGUGUAAAGCAACGUACACUUUCAGAAGAUACAUUGUCGUGCGCUGUGAUAAAACCAGGCAUCAUUUCUUUCUCAGAUUAUGUACUGAAAUUAUAAUUCUGUGAAUACAACAGUAAUUGGACCUGCCCUUUGAAAAGGAACAGAGGGAAAGCUGGACUUCUGUAGUGUUUUGCAUGCAAGUACAGGAUAUAGGUGAGCAAGAAUAAUCUCGGACUGAGGUUUAACAGCAGGUGUUAAGAGCAUGGUACACUCAAUAAAGCUGUUGUGAGAGAGUGAGGAAUAGCAUUACAAGGAAUGUCACAAACUUCAAAUGCAUCAGCAUGCUUUGACAAGGUUAAAUGCAGUGAAAUACCAUGCUUCACUACAAGUCAUUUUCCACCACUAUCAGAGCACAUGAACACAUUUUCCCAAGGAUACCCUAGAAGCUAGCACUUACUUGUUCAUCAGAUCAAACCCCUGAUCAGAGAGGAGCGCUCCAAAUCUCUUGCGUAGAUUGUUAUAGGGAUAUUCUGUGAAUGUCAUCUUCUUUACUGCUGGCAGCUCAUUGUAACCAGGCCAGAUUUUUUCGCUUGGAGUACCCAGAUCCUGUAAAUUAAAUUAUCUCCUUAAUAAACUCAUUCUAGAGUGCAA